UACAAAUUCAUUAUUAUUUGAAGCAGUCCUAGUUUAGUUACAAUAAAUAAUCAAAUCAUAUAAAACUCUAUAAAACAGAUAGAAGCAUUAAAAACAAUAAAAAACUUCAGCACAAAUUUGUCUUCCAUUUCGUCUUGAUACAUCAACAUAGGCUCGAACUGUGUACCUGAUAAUCGAAUUACAUUAUAAAGAAGAGGAUAUCAGCAUUUAGUGAUAAGAGCUUUCAUCCAGCAUUCAUACAGCAACAGUUUGGAAUAAUUUCAACCAAAACAGCUUCAACAAAACACGGUAAUACACCACAAAAUCUAAUACUUGACGGAUGCCCAAAAAUGACUCAACUGAACCUCAAAACUCACUCGAAAUAGAAUCAAUAAACCUCAGAAGCCACAAAAAUCCGAACUUGAACUAGAAAAUGCAAAUUACUAGCUAAAAGAUGAAAUUCGCUUAAAAGAUUAAUGGAACAGUAGAUGUUUUUGGAUUUUUGGAAGUUUCUAUUGUUUUUUUGGUUUUCUAUAUGAAGAAAGCUAAGAUCUAAGUGGAUUUUGCCUCAGAAGCCACAAAAAUCAGAACUUGAACUAGAAAAUGCAAAUUAGUAACUAAAAGCUGAAAUUCGCUAAAAAGAUCAAUGGAACGGUAGAUGUUUUUGGAUUUUUGGAAGUUUCUAUUGUUUUUUGGUUUUCUAUAUGAAGAAAGCUAAGAUCUAAGAGUAUUUUGUUGAUCUAAAUUUUAAUUUCAGAUCUGUAAAGCAUAGGGAAAUUUUUGGGGGGAAUAUUGGGGCUCUAAAAAGUUUUGUUCAAGGUAUGUGAGUGUCAUUUUAUAGGGAAAGCUAAGAGG
Molecule: long non-coding RNA, 834 nt
Filed under: Nicotiana benthamiana
Lineage: Eukaryota; Viridiplantae; Streptophyta; Magnoliopsida; Solanales; Solanaceae
Description: long non-coding RNA (NBEN_LNC035369)
Source: RNAcentral